RNAcentral lists this ribosomal RNA (440 nucleotides) under uncultured bacterium. Its description in RNAcentral is "partial 16S ribosomal RNA". It matches the Rfam family "Bacterial small subunit ribosomal RNA", at positions 338 to 795 of the family's 1533-position model. The record is from RNAcentral.
CCUACGGGUGGCAGCAGUGGGGGAUAUUGCACAAUGGGGGGAACCCUGAUGCAGCGACGCCGCGUGAGCGAAGAAGUACCUCGGUAUGUAAAGCUCUAUCAGCAGGGAAGAAAAUGACGGUACCUGACUAAGAAGCCCCGGCUAAAUACGUGCCAGCAGCCGCGGUAAUACGUAUGGGGCAAGCGUUAUCCGGAUUUACUGGGUGUAAAGGGAGCGCAGGCGGCCUGCCAAGUCUGGUGUGAAAACCCGUGGCUGAACCCUGGGCCUGCAUUGGAAACUGGCGGGCUGGAGUGUAGGAGGGGCAGGCGGAAUUCCUAGUGUAGCGGUGAAAUGCGUAGAUAUUAGGAGGAACACCGGUGGCGAAGGCGGCCUGCUGGACGAUGACUGACGCUGAGGCUCGAAAGCGUGGGGAGCAAACAGGAUUAGAUACCCGAGUAGUC